CGUUCGCGCUUCCGCCGGCGACCGGCGCACGGGUGAGUAACACGUAUGGAACCUGCCCGCAGCAGGGGGAUAAUCCGGGGGAAACCCCGUCUAAUACCGCGUAACGACCCGGAGGGGCAUCCCUUCGGGUCCAAAGGUUUACCGGCUGCGGAUGGCCAUGCGUCGCAUUAGCUUGUUGGCGGGGUAACGGCCCACCAAGGCGACGAUGCGUAGGGGUUCUGAGAGGAAGGUCCCCCACACUGGUACUGAGACACGGACCAGACUCCUACGGAAGGCAGCAG
Molecule: ribosomal RNA, 281 nt
Filed under: uncultured bacterium
Lineage: Bacteria
Description: partial 16S ribosomal RNA
Rfam family: Bacterial small subunit ribosomal RNA
Source: RNAcentral